GACGAACGCUGGCGGCGUGCUUAACACAUGCAAGUCGAACGGAAAGGCCCUGCUUUUGUGGGGUGCUCGAGUGGCGAACGGGUGAGUAACACGUGAGUAACCUGCCCUUGACUUUGGGAUAACUUCAGGAAACUGGGGCUAAUACCGGAUAGGAGCUCCUGCUGCAUGGUGGGGGUUGGAAAGUUUCGGCGGUUGGGGAUGGACUCGCGGCUUAUCAGCUUGUUGGUGGGGUAGUGGCUUACCAAGGCUUUGACGGGUAGCCGGCCUGAGAGGGUGACCGGCCACAUUGGGCCUGAGAUACGGCCCAGACUCCUACGGGAGGCAGCAGUGGGGAAUAUUGCACAAUGGGCUGAAGCCUGAUGCAGCAACGCCGCGUGCGGGAUGACGGCCUUCGGGUUGUAAACCGCUUUCGCCUUUGACGAAGCGUGAGUGACGGUAAUGGGUAAAGAAGCACCGGCUAACUACGUG
This 468-nucleotide ribosomal RNA is filed under the name uncultured bacterium. RNAcentral's name for it is "partial 16S ribosomal RNA". It matches the Rfam family "Bacterial small subunit ribosomal RNA", at positions 28 to 507 of the family's 1533-position model. The record is from RNAcentral.